Long non-coding RNA from Lepisosteus oculatus (spotted gar), 1392 nucleotides. RefSeq lists it as uncharacterized. The record is from RefSeq and is a predicted model, not a curated record. Lineage: Eukaryota; Metazoa; Chordata; Actinopteri; Semionotiformes; Lepisosteidae.
GAUACCAUUUAUAUGGUAUCGUUUCAUUGACAUCUAAAGCGUUUUGGAUUUUUCUGCAAAUAAUGGCAGUGACGCUUGAAGUAACAUUAUAGUUUUACUUUAGUGUUAUUUAACAUCAAUUAUAGACAUUUGAGGGAAAGUCCAAUUCUAACCUCACACUUGCUCUCUCCUCGAUAUAAACACUCAAUGGCUACUCAGAACCCUCCUCCCUCCAUCCAAACUUCAAUAUGGCAGGAGCUCCCUAAUUCAUUCCUUGAAAGAGGGUUGUGACUCACUGGAUUGUCAUUUGCUCAGCCAGGAGAGUUAAGUACUAAAGACAUUAUCCCUUUAUCACUGGCUUCUUUCAUCAUUAUUAGACCAGACCAGAUUACCAGAAUUAUGGGUAUUCAUCAGUUAGUAACAUCUCUAAGGAUGACAAUCCAUAUACAAAAAUAACCCUCCUUCAUGCAUACAUGUAUAAUUCCUGAUUCUCGAUAGGAAUUCUGCCUGUGAAAGAAAAUGCCGAACUCUAAUUUCUGAAACCAAAAAUGGGGCCGCACGCACAGGGGUACAGAUUCUAGGCGUGCCCUGAGCGCGCACACACCGCAAACACAAAAUUGAAAGGGAAAGGAACAAGUUUUUAUAAAAAAAAAUAAGCCUGGUCCUGUGGAAAAUAAAAAAAAAGUCCACACCAGGGGGGGAAUAAAUACAACGCCCAGCUGGAGUGUCGCUCUUCUUGCCUAGACUGGGAAAAAAAUCUCUCACCAGCAACACCGCUCUCUCCGCAGUGCUGGGGAAAGCCAUAUUGAGUAGCAGCAGCUCUUCUUGUCAGUGCCGGAGAAAAAACGCUGCGGCAGCGCUGGGGGAAAUAAACUUCAGUAGCAGCACUGCUUUUUUUAUCAAUUGGGGAAACAACACGGGGUAGAAGAGCAACUCUUCUCGUCAGUGAUGGGGAAGUUACUCGGCAGCAAGGUUGCCGCACUCCUCACCCGAAUUCGGGCAGGUAACGCCUCUCUGCAAACCCCCAGAUAAGAGAAAUCCGGGCAGCAUCGCGUCUGUGAAUCAACUCGUCGCCAACAGCGUCUUCCACACGGCGCUCGAUUUGUUCUGUCUGGAGCAGGAUGUAUAGCUGAUCCUGCUCCAGUGAUCGUUGGGCCCAUCGACUCGCCGGGAUCUGCGCGCCACCAUCUUGGUUGGUGCGACUGAUGAAGGCCAAGAUGCCAAAACAUCCAUCCAUCCAUUUUCCAUCUGCUUUAACCAGUUCCGAUUUGUGGGGGAGCCGGAGCCUAUCCCUGCAAGCGACAAGCACGAAGCAGAAAUGGCGAGUGAGGAAGGAGCUGUCUGCUGCAGCAUGUGGUUGUGCUGUUAAUGACGGACCUGCUGGCACAAAGUGCUCUGCGAGGGAACAUGCGG